AACAGUGUCACUUGAAGCUUGGCUAACCAAAAAGCUCAAUAUCACACCCCUCUGCUGGCAAAUGGUGCAUUGUGUCUGAAGACAACAGAAAAUAGAAAUUGUCUCUCACUUACUUUUAAAAUAUACUGUUCACAUACAACCUCAGUCUGAGACCAGGAAGAGUUACCUUUCUUCCAUCUGGUCACUUAGGAUUAGAAUCAGAUAGGAGAAAAGUUUCUAAUUUCAAGAACCAAUGGUUCUAUCAUUCUUUAAUCACAACAGUAACAUUUGGAUAUUUUAACCAGAAAUAUCUUAACAAAGUCAACCAAGUAAACAGUUAAGUACAGAAAAACUUUCACUUGCUUGUUACAGAGAAAGCUGGUGGAUAAGAGAAAGCAAGGGCUCUAACGACUUCAUUUUAAAUACCUGCUCUCCAAAAGUAGAUUAUUUAGCUUAAAAAAUGCUUUUGUAACUAAGGCCAUUACCACCACCACCACUCACCCACCUACCCACCCACAUACAAUUUAUAAAUUCAACUUUUAGUUUUGGCACAUUCUAAUUAUAUGGAUCACUUUUCUCCCUAUUCUCAACUUAGUCAAAACAGAUAGCUCCUUCUUACAGAAAGAACUAGAGUCAUUGCCUUUAGCAUUAACAUUUCCAUGGUGAAGCUUUUGAUAGACUAAACACAGAUGGAAAAGUCAGGACUCUUCCCAAGAGUCAAGAAUCCUACUUUGCUCAAUAAGGCCUGUAAAUGAGAAGCUGAAUAGUUCUGAUGUGGGUUCUUCAUGCUAAAUAAAGGUCUAACAUUUCAUGAGUUGAACGUUUCAUAUACUGUAGAAUGUGACCCCAUAGAUAACCUUUACUUCCAUCCAGCUCUUCAUUAAGUCCAACACAGCUUUAUUCACUAAAACUUUGCAGUUUAACAAAAUGUAGUCAUAAUUAUUAUUUGAAACAGGCAAACCUACUUAUUUUCUUUAAAUGUAAACACAAAUUAUUCCAUGCUAAAUCACAUUGGGACUCCGUGUUCUCAUUCUUCAUCUUAAUGAUCUAAUAUCCAUUUUUAUAUUGUUAUAUUUCUUACUAUGUGAAACAUGUUUCAAAUUACUUCACAUGUGUUUCAAAGAAGAGGCUAUGUUACAUCUUAAUUAUUAAAUAGAAAGUAUAGAAUAGUAAAGUCAUGAGUAUUAUCUAAUAGUACUUCAACUUUUUUUUAAAAUGUCUUGCCAACAGAGCCUUUGGUUUUGUUUUUAGAGACAAGAUUUCUCUGUGUAGCUUGUCAACACAGCCUUUUAAAGGGUAUAGUGAAUUUUUAAGUAACAGAAAAUUUGUUUCGAUGACAAAUGAUAUGACACACAAAGAAAAAUGAGAAAUAUACAGUCUUUUUCAAUUUUAAUUUUUAAAGAGAAAAAGAUGCAUUCGUCUGAAAUGUGUUCAGAAAACAAAACAAAAAAAAAAAUCAGAAUGAAAGCAAAGAUAGCUUACUUACUCUUCUGAGAUUUUUUUAUUGUACAUAUAUGAAAAUGAGACAUUCUCUUUGAUCUCAAACUGCACUUCAAUUUAAAAGAUGGUUCUUUUAACUUCUUCAGAAAACUAAUCAAACUUUCAAUCUUAAUACUCCAAUAAUUAAAGAGAUAUGACAUUUAUGAGAAAAAUCAAAGUUUGUAUCAUACUACUAAAAUCAAAUUUUUUGAGCAGGUGAGAUAGCUUAGUUGAUUAAGGCCUUACCACCAAGCCUGAUGACCUAAUUCUAAUCCCUAGGAAUCAAUUUGAUGGAAACAGAGAAAGAACCAACUCCCUCCAUGUAACCUCCAUACAGGCAUUAUCCUGUACCACCCCACAGAUAGAUAGAUAGAUAGAUAGAUAGAUAGAUAGAUAGAUAGAUAGAUAGAUAGAUAGAUAGAUAGAUAGAUUUUAAAGUUGAAGUGUGUCACAUUUUAUUAGUAGUAUUUUACUGUGAAUUUCCUAAGUGUUCUCAACUGCAAUAAAAACUAUAAAACAAUUAUUAAACCUCAGUAAAUGGAGUGUGUAAUGUCUUAUUACAGAUACUUACAUCAUAGUACUUUUUAAUGCACCGUCUAAUGUCCAUGAUCAAUUUGUUGCUCAGCUGUACCAUGAAGGUCAACGGUGAAACCUUACAAUCAACAUUACUGCAACGAUACAAACUGGGUUCCAUAUCCAGUCCCUAUAGAAGCCAGGAUAAACAAGUACACACAAGGUUAUUACCAGAAACAAUGUUAUGGCUCAAACUUACUUUAUUUUUUCUUGGCACACAACACUUUUCUAGAAGAGUUUUUAACUAUACUUUAUGUGUUAUUUAUGGCUUUAAGACCCUAAUUAGAAGUACGUGGUAUCUAUUCUUUUGCUAUCAUCACAAUGAACUACAAAGUCAAAUGGAAAUCCAUGAACUCACUACUUUACAUCCCAUGUAAGACAGGACUUACAGAGAAGGUCAUUUCCUCUUUGAAAAUAGCACAGAAAUCAUGUUACCAAAAAUAAACAUUAUUUUUAGAGACACUGAUCAAUAAUUCUAAUCUGCAGUCAUUCAUUACAAACUUGAAGAUAAAGCAAGGACCGAGCCUUAUACAACAUUAGUUAGCUGUUACUACAUCAACUGAAAUUUAGACAGAGAAAUCUAAAACGUAAAAGUACUGUACCGCAAGAGUAAUAAAGCAAUCUCAUUUAUCAUAAGAUUAGCAAAUCUAAAAUUCUUGUGCCUUAAAAGAAUUAAAAUUAUUUAGGAAAGGAUGCUUCAAGAGGAGUAUAAGUUUGGAAGAGUAACUAUUAGCAGUUGGAGAAACAUUUUAUUGUGUCACAGUGUGUUUUAAACAAAGACAAAACAAAUAUAAGAUAUAGGAAAACUGUUGGGGUUUCUGGAGCAUUUGUUUUCCUUCUGGAUACUUAAACAUCUUGGUUGGUUUCCUGCUCCAAUCUGGUGUAGAACCCGACCCGACAAGCUAAGCAACUCCAGGUGGGAGAGAUUUCAGAGCUUGACAUGGGCUCUUCCCCAGUUAGCCCAUCUGCAAGUCGUCAAGCCUCCAUGCAAUUAACUAUCUUAUUUACAGCUGCAAUGAAGCAAAGCUCAAGGAUUUAGCAAGUACUGCUGAUCUGUGUCUGCCUCUUCCUUGCACUUGCUUCCAAAAGCUGCUUUGUUUUGAUUCAAAAAAUGCAAAACAUCUGCUGUUUGUCCAAAUUAACUUAAAAUAAUUACUUUUAAUUUAGAUAAAGGAUGUAUUUUCCUUCAGUUUCAAGGUUUCAGAGUUCUGCUGCCUACUCAUUUGCCAAUGGCUAGCACACUUUUAACACUGCAGUGAAAUAAACUGAAUUGGCCAAGUUUCAAGUUCUGAUCCAAGGUCAAUGAUACAUUUUUGGCAGUACUUCUUGACAGAAAGGUCUCCCUGUCAUUUUUUUAAAACGUCUGAUAUGGAAAGACAAAAAAACCACCAAACAAAAAACAACAACAAAAAACUAAAAAGCACCUUUGUC
Molecule: long non-coding RNA, 3462 nt
Filed under: Mus musculus (house mouse)
Lineage: Eukaryota; Metazoa; Chordata; Mammalia; Rodentia; Muridae
Description: long non-coding RNA chrX:93459339-93462801
Source: RNAcentral